RNAcentral lists this ribosomal RNA (379 nucleotides) under uncultured Candidatus Saccharibacteria bacterium. RNAcentral's name for it is "bacterial SSU rRNA". It matches the Rfam family "Bacterial small subunit ribosomal RNA", at positions 376 to 770 of the family's 1533-position model. The record is from RNAcentral. Lineage: Bacteria; Candidatus Saccharimonadota.
GGCAACCCUGAUGGAGCAACGCCGCGUGCAGGAUGAAGGCUUUCGGGUCGUAAACUGCUUUUCUCUGUGACGAUUAUGACAGUAGCAGAGGAAUAAGGAUCGGCUAACUCCGUGCCAGCAGCCGCGGUCAUACGGAGGAUCCAAGCGUUAUCCGGAAUUACUGGGCGUAAAGAGUUGCGUAGGCGGUUUUGUAAGCAGGGCAUGAAAUAGUGUGGCUCAACCAUACUGCUAUGUUCUGAACUGCAAUGACUAGAGGAUGAGAGAGGUCACUGGAAUUCCAAGUGUAGGAGUGAAAUCCGUAGAUAUUUGGAGGAACACAGAUGGCGUAGGCAGGUGACUGGCUCAUUCCUGACGCUCAGGCACGAAAGCGUGGGUAGCA